AGAGACUGGGGAAAAGAAGAUGUAUAUAGUGCUGGGUUUUAUUUUUCAUUUCCUUUUGUUCCUUUUUUUUUUUUAAGAAAAAACAAAAAGUUGUUUGAUUUCUAAUGUCUUGAUGUAAACCAAAUAAAAAUGGUUCUGUACAUUCAGAAGUGAAGAACAGCUGAAAGGUGACAAGUAUAAUAAAGAAGCACUGACCUUCAGGCUACUAUAACCAUUUCCCCAGACUUUUCCCACAGGAUUGGAGGGCAGAGCUGUGCCUGUGCCUGCACAGAGGUGCUGGGAUGGUGACCUUGGGGCUGGCUCCCUGAUCCAACUGUGAGUGCAGCACAGAAGAGGUGGGCAGUAGAGGUGGAAGUGAUGGUAUGUAAGUAACUUUUCAGUGUUUGAUCCCACCACCCCUGAGGCCAGCGGGAGGAGGCUGUGUGCUAAACCCCAGUCUCUUGUGCACAGGGUCUCUUCCCAGAGGCAGCUGCAUCAUGCCUGACUGUAGCUGGAGCCGUAGUGAGGAGGGGAGGAUGGUGUCAGCUGUCCCCUGGAUAAAUGGGGAAAUGCAGAUGGAGUAAAGGCAGUGGGAGCCUGAACUGGAAUUGCCUGUGUUGUGUUUAGUGCUUUGGAAAAGCAGAGGACAGUCUUGCCUCCAUGGGGCAGAAAGGGUGGCUUCUCUGCAGCAGGGUCAAUAAAUGUCCUGUUGUUUGUGUUAUUGCAGCAAGACAAAAAGGAAAAAAACAAAGCAAACCAACACUUUAUGUGUAAGCCAGACCUAAGGGGAGUCUCAGUCCUCUUAGGAAAGGCCAUUCUUCAGCAGAAAGGCUGGAGUGCAUCAGUGUGGGGCAGCCCCAGAGCCCCAUCAGCCCUUUCUGCUGCUGACCAGGCCACCAGGACUGGUGGGGAGCCAAGGGCAGCUGCUUUGCUGAGACUAAACAACGGGGACCUGUGUGAGCACAAGCUCCUGAACUGCACUGUGCUCUGCCACAAAGUGCAGUGCCUUGCUCCCAGAAUCUGGGAGUGUCACCACAGAGACAGUGGACCCAGAGCAUCCCAAAGCUCCCCUCCCCAGCCCCAUGCCAUGGGCUGGCUGCUCCCAUCUAAGACAGCCACAGCUUGCCAGUGCCGGGGGCAGAAAGCACUCGCUGAAUAAUACUGAAUAUGUGUGUGACAAAGUGAGGAGAGGAGACAUGAUAGACCCAUUUAUGAUCCAGGGAUACACAUUUUAUCAUUUGCACAGGCUGAGCUUGGCAUUUAUGCUGACAGACUUUUUCCCCAGAAUGGAUGAAACUGUAUAGUGGUGAGUAUCGUUGAUUUUUUUGAAGGGGAUGGUAAUUGCUCUUCUAGUAUGUGUUUUAAACAGUGUUGGUUUGCCUUCUGUGAAGCCUAAUGCUUCCCAGCUCUCAGUGCUCUAAUGUGGGGAGUUAAUUGUUUCACUUAAUUAGAUGCUGGGUCCAUGUGUUUUUGGGAACCUUGCUGGGUGUCUGAUGCAGUGUCCAGGCACAAAGACCAAAGAUCUUUUCCUUGGCUUUCCCAGCCCUCUGGACAUGCCUUGCCCACUGUGUGCCCUGCUGGAUUUGCCAUCACGUGGCUCAUGGUGCCCAGCCCUGGUGCUGAUGGGCCUGCAGGGAGGGUCUGGGGACCCCUGAGCUGGGGGAAGCCAGGCCAGCAGGGAAGGAGAGCGUGCUUUGUUGUGAUGCUGCUGCUCCCUGGGGCCUCAGGCAAGGGCAGUGGCUGGUUUGCAGCAGCAGGAACAGCCUGGCUCAGGUUGGCAGAGGCUCUUCUCUCUGUGCCUGCUCUCCUGCCUACAGAGCAGGGAGCUGGCACUGCCCCUGCACUGACAGAUGCUCUGCUCCACGUUGGGAUGAACCUGCUUGUCUUGGCUCUGGCCUUAAGGCAGUCCUCUCAUCUCACCUGUAGGGAUGGUGCCUUGGGCUGGGCUUUUCUCCCUCACCACCACCCCCUGGCUGUGCUGGAGCCCUGCCAAGGCAAUGGCCCCUCCUGGCGAGACCAGAGGCCUCAGUGCAGGGGCAAGCAGGGAACUCCUGGAGCACAAUAUCGUGACAUGUCAGGUGGGGGCCCAAGGUGCACUUUGGGAGAGAGCUGGUGCUGCCACAAGUGGUGAUGCUUUAACCUCUUCUCCAGAAACAGUGUCCUACAGGACCCGAAAGUCUGGGGACUACUGUGCUACCUGCCUCAGGGACAGCUGGGGACCCACGGGGGCUGUUUUGGACAGGAGCAGGUCUUCUGCUAGUGCAGCUUUCAGGCUUUUGUCAGACAUCUUGGCACCCUUGUGGCCCUUGAGUUUUGAGGCAGACAGAAGGAAGAUGUGUCCCACAGCCUCUCACAAGCAGAGACUGGGCACAAAUCCCUGAGUUUCAGCCCCUGCCAAGGCUAGCAAGGUUAGCAAGGCAAUUGGCAACCUUUCCCUCUCCCCUUUCCCUUGCACUGCAGCAAGAAAGGGAUGGACAAAGCAGAGAUCAAACCCACACAGUCCCAGCCCUGCAAAGCCCCGUGUCUUGCUCAAGUCUGAGCACAGGAGCAGACCUGACAGCUGCACCUUGAAAUCCUGCCUGGAAAACUCCUUGAAAUCCUGCCUGGAUCUGACAGCCUCACUGGGCUGGGCCGGUGUGCUUGGCAGGCCCAAAGGGGAGAUUCUGAGGGAGCAAACCCCCAGAAAGAUUCAGCAGUUGUCACAGAGAAUGGUUUCUAAUCUGGGAGGAUGAGCAGCUAGGUGCUAGAGGAGAAAAUGGAAAAACUGAGGAUAAAGGAAAGCCUGAGAAGUCACCCAGAAAUAUCCCAGCCUCUGGCAAAUACACGUGGCCCUGGUGGCAGGGCUGUGGUUGGUCUGUGGGGUGGGUUGUUUUACUUUUAUUUUCUUUUUCUACUGCCUGGCAUGUCAUCAUAUUGUGUCUUUGUGUGAAAUCACAUCCCCUGCCAAAAGAGAACCCAGUUCCUGGAGGGCAAACACCCUUUCACGGUGUGCUCACUACAGGGAUGUUGCACCAAAAAAAAGACAUGAAAACAGGGCUGGGGCAUCCUUCCCAGGAAAAUCUGUUCCAUUUCUGGCCCAUCCUCUCCAGCUGCACCCAUCCAUCUCCCUCCCAAAGACGAAGGAGCUGCGGUGUCUUCUCUGACUGGGGACAAUUGCUGUGGCCUGAAAUCCAAACAGCUGAACAGCAAGAGGGCAGGAGGAUCAAUGUCAGUGUCAAUGUGCUAUCAAAGGGACUGCUGUGAACCAUCUUAACAUGCUCUGAGUGGCUGCGUUGCAUCCUUUUAAAUUUUAUAAAAAAAAAAAAAAAAAAGAAAAAAAAAAGAAAGAAAAAAAAAAAAACCAACCCAGAACAAACCACCCAUUUUUAUGAUCUUUAAUUUGCUUUUUCUGCAUGAAAUAAGACCUUGAUCCUUGUCUUUUUUCACAAAAGCAGAUUCUGCUUUAACCAAUGUAAAAAAAAAAAAGAAAAAAAAA
This 3454-nucleotide long non-coding RNA is filed under the name Taeniopygia guttata (zebra finch). RNAcentral describes it as "lncRNA (ENSTGUG00000019702.1)". Lineage: Eukaryota; Metazoa; Chordata; Aves; Passeriformes; Estrildidae. The record is from RNAcentral.